RNAcentral lists this ribosomal RNA (481 nucleotides) under Lasiodiplodia theobromae. RNAcentral describes it as "SSU rRNA". It matches the Rfam family "Eukaryotic small subunit ribosomal RNA", at positions 500 to 985 of the family's 1831-position model. Lineage: Eukaryota; Fungi; Ascomycota; Dothideomycetes; Botryosphaeriales; Botryosphaeriaceae. The record is from RNAcentral.
GUCUUGUAAUUGGAAUGAGUACAAUUUAAAUACCUUAACGAGGAACAAUUGGAGGGCAAGUCUGGUGCCAGCAGCCGCGGUAAUUCCAGCUCCAAUAGCGUAUAUUAAAGUUGUUGCAGUUAAAAAGCUCGUAGUUGAACCUUGGGCCUGGCUGGCCGGUCUGCCUCACCGCAUGUACUGGUUCGGCCGGGUCUUUCCUCCUGGGGAUCCGCAUGCCCUUCACUGGGUGUGUUGGGGAACCAGGACUUUUACUUUGAAAAAAUUAGAGUGUUCAAAGCAGGCCUUUGCUCGAAUACAUUAGCAUGGAAUAAUAGAAUAGGACGUGCGGUCCUAUUUUGUUGGUUUCUAGGACCGCCGUAAUGAUUAAUAGGGAUAGUCGGGGGCAUCAGUAUUCAGUUGUCAGAGGUGAAAUUCUUGGAUUUACUGAAGACUAACUACUGCGAAAGCAUUUGCCAAGGAUGUUUUCAUUAAUCAGUGAACG